GCUUUAGUAGCUUAAUUGGUAGAGCGGCUGUCUUCUAAACAGUAGGUUAUAGGUUCGAGUCCUAUCUAAAGCG
Molecule: transfer RNA, 73 nt
Filed under: Calditrichota bacterium
Lineage: Bacteria; Pseudomonadati; Calditrichota
Description: Calditrichaeota bacterium (activated sludge metagenome) tRNA-Arg
Rfam family: tRNA
About the family: Transfer RNA (tRNA) molecules are approximately 80 nucleotides in length. Their secondary structure includes four short double-helical elements and three loops (D, anti-codon, and T loops).
Source: RNAcentral